RNAcentral lists this transfer RNA (68 nucleotides) under Cardiocephaloides medioconiger. Its description in RNAcentral is "tRNA-Met". The record is from RNAcentral. Lineage: Eukaryota; Metazoa; Platyhelminthes; Trematoda; Diplostomida; Strigeidae.
GAAGAUGUAAGUUAAUUUAAACUUUAUGGUUCAUGUUCAUAUAAUAUAUCUUGUUGAUGUCGUCUUCU